RNAcentral lists this ribosomal RNA (501 nucleotides) under uncultured bacterium. RNAcentral describes it as "partial 16S ribosomal RNA". It matches the Rfam family "Bacterial small subunit ribosomal RNA", at positions 30 to 523 of the family's 1533-position model. The record is from RNAcentral.
AUUGAACGCUGGCGGCACGCCUAACACAUGCAAGUCGAGCGGCAGCGCGAUCAGUAGCAAUACUGAUUGGCGGCGAGCGGCGGACGGGUGAGUAACACGUAGGAACCUGCCCAGAAGUGGGGGAUAACUAAUGGAAACGUUAGCUAAUACCGCAUACAUUCGGGAGAAGAAAGCUGCAGCAAUGUGGCGCUUUUGGAGGGGCCUGCGUACGAUUAGCUAGUUGGUGAGGUAAUGGCUCACCAAAGCGAUGAUCGUUAACUGGUCUGAGAGGACGACCAGUCACACUGGGACUGAGACACGGCCCAGACUCCUACGGGAGGCAGCAGUGGGGAAUCUUGGACAAUGGGGGAAACCCUGAUCCAGCGACGCCGCGUGAGUGAAGAAGGCCCUCGGGUCGUAAAGCUCUUUAGGCUGGGAAGAAGGUUGAUUGAGGAAAUGCUUUCAACUUGACGGUACCAGCAGAAUAAGCACCGGCAAACUCUGUGCCAGCAGCCGCGGUAA